AUUGAACGCUGGCGGCAGGCCUAACACAUGCAAGUCGAACGGUAACGGGAAGAAGCUUGCUUCUUUGCUGACGAGUGGCGGACGGGUGAGUAAUGUCUGGGAAACUGCCUGAUGGAGGGGGAUAACUACUGGAAACGGUAGCUAAUACCGCAUAACGUCGCAAGACCAAAAAGGGGGACCUUCGGGCCUCUUGCCAUCGGAUGUGCCCAGAUGGGAUUAGCUAGUAGGUGGGGUAACGGCUCACCUAGGCGACGAUCCCUAGCUGGUCUGAGAGGAUGACCAGCCACACUGGAACUGAGACACGGUCCAGACUCCUACGGGAGGCAGCAGUGGGGAAUAUUGCACAAUGGGCGCAAGCCUGAUGCAGCCAUGCCGCGUGUAUGAAGAAGGCCUUCGGGUUGUAAAGUACUUUCAGCGGGGAGGAAGGGAGUAAAGUUAAUACCUUGGCUCAUUGACGUUACCCGCAGAAGAAGCACCGGCUAACUCCGUG
Molecule: ribosomal RNA, 490 nt
Filed under: uncultured bacterium
Lineage: Bacteria
Description: partial 16S ribosomal RNA
Rfam family: Bacterial small subunit ribosomal RNA
Source: RNAcentral